GACGAACGCUGGCGGCGCGCCUAACACAUGCAAGUCGAACGAGCGAGCGAGAGCUUGCUUUCUCAAGCGAGUGGCGAACGGGUGAGUAACGCGUGAGGAACCUGCCUCAAAGAGGGGGACAACAGUUGGAAACGACUGCUAAUACCGCAUAAGCCCACGACCCGGCAUCGGGUAGAGGGAAAAGGAGCAAUCCGCUUUGAGAUGGCCUCGCGUCCGAUUAGCUAGUUGGUGAGGUAACGGCCCACCAAGGCGACGAUCGGUAGCCGGACUGAGAGGUUGAACGGCCACAUUGGGACUGAGACACGGCCCAGACUCCUACGGGAGGCAGCAGUGGGGAAUAGUGCACAAUGGGGGAAACCCUGAUGCAGCGACGCCGCGUGGAGGAAGAAGGUCUUCAGAUUGUAAACUCCUGUUGUUGAGGAAGAUAAUGACGGUACUCAACAAGGAAGUGACGGCUAACUACGUG
Molecule: ribosomal RNA, 466 nt
Filed under: uncultured bacterium
Lineage: Bacteria
Description: partial 16S ribosomal RNA
Rfam family: Bacterial small subunit ribosomal RNA
Source: RNAcentral